Molecule: long non-coding RNA, 156 nt
Organism: Bufo bufo (common toad)
Lineage: Eukaryota; Metazoa; Chordata; Amphibia; Anura; Bufonidae
Exons: 4
Source: RefSeq, a predicted model, not a curated record
GUAUAUCACCCGUGGGUGAUGUAAGACAUCAGCGCUGGAAAAAAUAGACUAAACGACUACUUUCCUCUAAGUUUGUUGGAUAGAAAGGUAGGUGACACUUAGAAAGAAGAGGGGGUGGUACAAGGAACUGGUCUGUCUUUUGAAAGAAAGCAUAGG